UUGCCAAUGAUGGUUACGAAUUUCUUCACCUGAACCAGCCAUGUGGUCAUACUGUAUCUGAGGCAAA
RNAcentral lists this small nucleolar RNA (67 nucleotides) under Canis lupus familiaris (dog). The record is from RNAcentral. Lineage: Eukaryota; Metazoa; Chordata; Mammalia; Carnivora; Canidae. RNAcentral also lists the same sequence under 3 other names.